AGCUACACCUGUGUCCCGAGCAUUGGACUGGAUGCUGCCAUAUAGCAGCUCAUUUAACCUUUGUCCCAUCUGCAGAUGAAAGAACAGGGGCCCAGAAUGGCUACUGGUGGAGCCAGGAUUCAAGUCUGGGUUGAUUGACUUGGAUUUUGUACUGUUAACCCCUAUGCUGCCUGACUUUCUCCUAACAUCACAUCUAUGGGUGAUUUAACACAGCUUUCCCACCCUUUUGUUUUUCCUGCAAAAUUAACCAUUGGACCAAAAGCCAAAGCAUCUUCUUCUCCAAUAGCUACUUGGCCCUCCAGAAGACUGUGGCACAGUGUGAGAUGCUCCCCAGCAGCUUCCAGGUCUCACCUGUGGCCUUGAUGCCUGGGUGAACAAAAGCCUUUCUUUUGGUUUGGUACCUUUGUAUUUCUGAAUCUUUAGUAAAAGCGAACAUUGUUUUAAAAGUA
Homo sapiens (human) is the source of this 449-nucleotide long non-coding RNA. The record is from Ensembl. Lineage: Eukaryota; Metazoa; Chordata; Mammalia; Primates; Hominidae.